AAUAAUAUUUUAUUCAUUUCUAUCCUCUUAAUUAGAGUUAACAUUGUUAAAAAAAUAAUUAAAUAUACAAACAGUAAUCAAAAUAUCAUGAUGAUAAUGAUGAUGAUGAUGAAGAUGGCAAUGCUGUUUGCUGUUUGCUGGCAAAAUAUUGUUUAAAUAAGAUAAUAAUAAUAACAAUAGUUAUUUGCAAUGAAUUUUACCGAUGGAUGUCCUCUAUGUAAUGGUAUCGACAGACACAACACCGCCAGUCAAUUGUUUAGUUACUGACAUAUUAUCUGAAAAAUUUAGUAA
Molecule: long non-coding RNA, 291 nt
Organism: Oppia nitens
Lineage: Eukaryota; Metazoa; Arthropoda; Arachnida; Sarcoptiformes; Oppiidae
Exons: 3
Source: RefSeq, a predicted model, not a curated record